Molecule: unclassified non-coding RNA, 1999 nt
Filed under: Hevea brasiliensis (rubber tree)
Lineage: Eukaryota; Viridiplantae; Streptophyta; Magnoliopsida; Malpighiales; Euphorbiaceae
Source: RNAcentral
UGUGUGUGUGUGUGUAGUCAUAAAUGUAGUGAUUACAAUCAAACUAAACACACUAGUCCUUAGGUAUACUUCAUCUAUCACUCUUUUUCGGUUAUAAGCAUAAGGAUUUUAUUAAUAGAGAAUAGGAGGGGGAAAAUCACCAAAAGAAGGAUCCCAGACCAACAGGUCUACCCCAUUACACCCUGAACUAGAAACUAACUUCUAAUGGUGAUGAAAAAAACCCCUUAAAAGAGCAACAAAUAAGACAACAAAACAAAACAAAGAAAAGAUACAAAACGAUAUGCACUAUAAAUCAGCUUUAGAAGAUUUGGGAACUGAUGACAUCAAUUAACGAUACAAAACAAGUAAAUGACUUUAGUAAAAUAUCAUAUGAAAAGUAAUAACAUGACAACAUAUAUUCUCUAAUGUGAUAAAUCAAGCUUUGUUGCCAAUGAGGAAGAAUAUGAAGAAAGGUGAUGACCGCCAAAAAGAAUAUGAUAAAAGUUACUGAAAAACUUACUAAGAAAACUCCAUGAUCUAUUUCAUACCAUUUCCCCUUGACUUCAUGUGUUGACUCCAUUUGUGAUGAAGGUGAUUCAGCAUUAUGAUCAUUGCAUUUUCUUUCCACUUGAGGUCCACAAAGAAAUGGGUUCCCUUCAUAGCUGUUACUUUCGAAUGUACUGAAUUGUCCUUUCAUGUCUGGAAUUCUGCCUGAUAAGUUGUUGUGAGCCACGCUAAAUACUUCUAGAAAGUUUAGAUCUAUCAAUUUUGAAGGAAUCUCUCCACUUAAAUUGUUAUAAGAGAGGUCUAAACUUUCUAUUUGUGAUAAAUUAGAGAAAGAUCUUGGAAUGGAUCCUGUCAAUCGAUUGUGUGAUAGGUUUAAUGCAUGAAUUUGGGACAGCUCUCCUAGCUUAAAUGGGAUUUCACCUGUUAGGCUAUUAGCUGACAAAUCUAAUCCAGACAUGUAGUUGAGAAUCUUAUUCUUAUACGUGCUACUUCUAUAUUUUGUAAAAAACUCAAUUUCUUCCUCAUUAUCAAAAUAAAUUGGGAAAGUAUCCAAGGGCUUAAAUCGUUCCAUGCUUCUCGGAAGUGAAAUGGGAAUGUUAUUUAAGAUCUCAUUGAUAGCUAAGAAACUUCUUUCUUCCCUUGCAAAGGACAUAUUAUGUAAGCAGUGGGGUAUGGACCCAGAAAAGGAGUUUCUUGAGAGAUCUAAUAAGCUGAUGUCAUUCAACUGACAUAACCAAUUUGGAAUGAAGCCACCUAAAUGAUUUGCUCCUAAUAAAAGAACUCUCAAGCCAUUCAGAAACUCACCAGUGUUAUUAGGAAUGGUGCCUGACAACUCGUUAUUGCUCAAGUCUAAUACCUUCAAUGUCGAAAUAUUGAGCAAAGCUUCUGGUAUUGAACCAAUGAAUCUGUUACCUUGCAAAUAUAUUUGUUCUAAAUAAUUUCCAUGGAAGAAAGAAGGUAAUGGCCCAGAAAAAUAGUUGUGAGAAAGGUCUAGGUUCUCUAUUGAAAGAAGUUCCCUUGAAAUAUGACCUUUAAAAAAAUUAUUAUGUAAAUUGAUGUAAUAUAGAUAUGUGAAGUUACCCAUCCAGUGUGGAAUCUCACCAUGCAAUCGGUUGUUGCUCAAAUCUAACCAUUGAAUCUCUGGGCUACGCAUUUGGUAACUAAAAUUAGGGAGUAAACUUGCUAGAGUUCCCUCAAAUUGGUUGUCAUUCAAUUGCAGAGCACUAAAUCGAGUGAUGUUAAAUAUCACUAUUUGACCGUGGAAGUUAUUAUAAGAUAGCUUCAGAAGUUUCAAGAAAAUGCAACUUGAAAGCAGUUCCUUCGGUACUUCCCCUGAGAAGUUGUUAUGAGACAAAUCUAAAGCCAUCAAUUUACAGUCAUCGCCAACAGCAAAAAGAAAAUCACCUUGAAAAUAAUUUCUGGCUAAAUUAAGAUAUCUCAUGUUCGGAAGCAUCUUUGUGCCAAUUUCUGGAAGCUGGCCAUUGAAAGAAUUAUUCUCAAGAUUUAGGGUCUG